Molecule: transfer RNA, 74 nt
Filed under: Desulfohalobium retbaense DSM 5692
Lineage: Bacteria; Pseudomonadati; Thermodesulfobacteriota; Desulfovibrionia; Desulfovibrionales; Desulfohalobiaceae
Rfam family: tRNA
About the family: Transfer RNA (tRNA) molecules are approximately 80 nucleotides in length. Their secondary structure includes four short double-helical elements and three loops (D, anti-codon, and T loops).
Source: Rfam by way of RNAcentral
CGGGACGUGGCGCAGUCUGGAAGCGCACCUGAAUGGGGUUCAGGGGGUCGCAGGUUCAAAUCCUGCCGUCCCGA